AACGUAGGACGCGAGCGUUAUCCGGAGUUACUGGGCGUAAAGCGCGGGCAGGCGGUCUGCCAAGUCUGAUGUGAAAUCUCCGGGCUUAACCGGGAGAGGCCAUUGGAAACUGACAGGCUGGAGGGCAGUAGAGGUAGGCGGAAUUCCCGGUGUAGCAGUGAAAUGCGUAGAGAUCGGGAGGAACACCAGUGGCGAAGGCGGCCUUCUGGACCAAUACUGACGCUCAUGCACGAAAGCGUGGGGAGCAAACAGG
This 253-nucleotide ribosomal RNA is filed under the name uncultured bacterium. RNAcentral's name for it is "partial 16S ribosomal RNA". It matches the Rfam family "Bacterial small subunit ribosomal RNA", at positions 524 to 776 of the family's 1533-position model. The record is from RNAcentral.